UGCAGUUUGAUCUCUGACUGCUGUGCUAGCAAUCAGUGAGACUCCCUGGGCAUAGGACCCUCCGAGCCAGGUGGGGGUUAUAAUCUCGUGGUGCGCCGUUUUUUAAGCCCGUCGGAAAAGCGCAGUAUUCCGGUUGGAGUGACCCGAUUUCCAGGUGCUGUCCGUCACCCCUUUCUUUGACUGGGAAAGGGAACUCCCUGACCCCUUGCCCUUCCCAAGUGAGGCAGUGCCUCGCCCUGCUUCGGCUCGCGCACGGUGCACGCACUCACUGACCUGCGCCCACUGUCUGGCACUCCCUAGUGAGAUGAACCCGGUACCUCAGAUGGAAAUGCAGAAAUCACCCGUCUUCUGCGUCGCUCAAGCUGGGAGCUGUAGACCGGAGCUGUUCCUACUCGGCCAUCUUGGCUCCUCCCCGCCAAGCCUGUCAGUCAGAAUUCCAUUGCAUGCCUGUUCUUGAACAACCAUGGUCAAGGAGACAAGAUUCCUGAUGACUGACUCACACUAAUCAAAACUCAGCCACUGGUCCUAGCAAACUUCAUGAGAUGAGAGUGGAGAGUGUCCCAUCUCAUCUUAAGCAUAUGACUGUCCCAUACCCAUACAAAAUCAGGUUCUUUGCACAAAGAACAAUAGAGGUGAAUGACCAAUGAGUAAUCAAAGAGAGAGUUUUUCAGAAUAUGACUGCAUUUGGAAAUAGGGACUUUAAAGAGGUGAUUAAGUUACAAUGAGGCCACUAGAGAAGACAAUUAUCCAUUUGGACUGAUGUGCUUAGAAGAAGAGCAUAUUGGUAAAAAGAGACACCAGAGGUACAACAGCACAGAGAAAGACCAUGUGAGGACAUAGUGAGAAGAUGGCCAUCCCAUCUGCAAGCCAAGGACAGAGGCCUCAGGAGAAACCAACCCUGAUGACACCUUGAUCUUGGACUUCACAGCCUCCAGAACUAACAUACUCAAGUGUCUCAGCUCAACAUUUGGAGAUGAGCCAUCCUCCUCUUAUUGUAAGAAAAGCUUGAAGGAGUAUUUUCACAGCGAUGGAACUGGAAGUUAAGGCAACUUCUAUCAGCAUCAAGAAAAGAAAAGAAGUAUUCACCACUUACGAAACAACAUCUCUCUUCUCAUCAAUAGUUUGAUUUACAGCAUCUACUGCAGAAGACCUCAAUAAUGCAUAAGAACAUCUGGAAGUACGGUAAUUUCAGCUAUCAGAGAUAAGAAUUGACACAGAACAGAAAAAUAAAUGUCCUGUCAAGGCAUUCCUUCAAUGACAUCUUGUCACACAAGUCUAUAUCCAAGGCUGCCCACAAAGUGGAAAAAUGGGGAAAAUAGAGAAUUCAGCUCACUAUGAUUUCUGCAAUAUACAAUUAUGGGAAAUCAUGUUUGGAUUGACACUGCAGACAGAAAUGGCAUGCAUGAUUCCUGUUUGGACAGGAAUAGCUGUUGGGGAGGAAGCCAACCUUGAAUGACACUGAAGAGCAACAUAAUGAAGCAUGAAUUGACAGGCAUCCUUCACGUUGCUUCUGGCUUCCCGUGUAAAAAGCCAUAUCUGAGCGCAGCUCUUAUGGGGCCAGAUCCAGGGGAGGAGAAAGGAAGUGAGGCCCAGAAAAAAUACAUUGUCAUGGAGGAGUGAAACUGAAGACAAAACAAAAAGGACUUUCCACAACUAGGCCCCUGGCUUACACUGCAAUGGAAGAAGAGGAGCAGAAAUACUGCCAAAGAUCCUUAUGAUGGCAUUGCAUUUUAGACUGCUUUUCAACUGAUUAUGACAGUAUCAACAAAAGAAACUUUCAUUUGAGGGACAUGGAUGGAGCUGGAGGCCAUUAUCCUUAGCAAGGUAACACAAGAACAGAAAACGAAAUACUGCAUGUUCUCACUUAUAAAUGGGAACUAAAUGAUGAGAAUAUAUGGACACAUAGAGGGGAACAACACACACUGAAGCCUUUUAGAGGGUGAAUGGUGGGAAGAGGGAGAGGAUCAGAAAAAAUAACCAAUGGGUACUAGGCUUAAAACUGGGUGAUGGAGGCAGGGCGUGGUGGCUCACGCCUGUAAUCCCAACACUUUGGGAGGCUGAGGCGGGCAGAUCACCAGGUCAGGAGAUGGAGAUCAUCCUGGUGAACACGGUGAAACCCCAUCUCUACUAAAAAUACAAAAAAAUUAGCUGGGCGUGGCGGCCGGCGCCUGUAAUCCCAGCUACUCGGAAGGCUGAGGCAGGAGAAUGGCGAGAACCCGGGAGGCGGAGCUUGCAGUGAGCUGAGAUCGCGCCACUGCACUCCAGACUGGGCGAUAGAGCAAGACUCCCUAUCAAAAACAAAACAAAACAAAACAAAACAAAACAAAACAAAACUGGAUGAUGAAAUAAUCUGCACAGCAAACUCCCACAACACACGUUUACCUAUAUAACAACUUGCAGUUGUACCCCUGAACUUAAAAGAAUAAUCGGCCAGGCGCAGUGGGUCACGCCUGUAAUCCCAGCACUUUGGGAGGCUGAUGUGGGUGGAUCACCUGAAGUAAGGAGUUCGAGACCAGCCUGGCCAACAUGACGAAACCCCGUCUCUACUAAAAAUAACAAAAAUUAUCUGGGCAUGUUGGCACACGUGCCUGUAAUCCCAGCUACUGGGGGACUGAGGCAGGAGGAUCACUUGAACCUGGGAGGAGGAGGUUGCAGCGAGCCGAGAUCGCACCACUGCACUCCAGCCGGUGCAACAGAGUGAGACUUCAUCUCAAAUAAAUAAAUAAAUAAAAGAUUAAUAAACAAAAACAAAAAAACACAAAAAAUUCUAUACCUCAAUUUAUAAAAUUCUAUAACUGUCUAUUAACUACUAAUAAAAAUGUGUGAUAAAGGC
This 2833-nucleotide long non-coding RNA is filed under the name Homo sapiens (human). RNAcentral describes it as "HSALNT0041793". Lineage: Eukaryota; Metazoa; Chordata; Mammalia; Primates; Hominidae. The record is from RNAcentral.